Non-coding RNA from Cucurbita pepo subsp. pepo (vegetable marrow), 4674 nucleotides. The record is from RefSeq and is a predicted model, not a curated record. Lineage: Eukaryota; Viridiplantae; Streptophyta; Magnoliopsida; Cucurbitales; Cucurbitaceae.
UUUUCACAAGAGCAAAAACCUCCAUGCCAUUCUCGAAGCCGAUUGUUCACAGCUAAAACCGAAUUACAAGCUCAAGAAAGCAGAUUCAUCUUCAAAGUGUCUCCUAGCUUAUACGACUACAAUUCUGCAAAGAACAACCAUGGAUUUGUUUCGAACGUCAAUUCUGCAAACUGUGUCGAUUUGGUCGAAUGCGUUGUGGUGAUGCAUAAUGUUGACUCUGGUACGCAAUCGCACCUCCUGGUGCCUAUUCGGCUGUGCAGACCUCUGAGCUGUGUGGCAAUUUCCCAGGAUGGCCGCUUCGUGGCUGCUGGAGAGUCAAUGCCUCAGCCUACAGUAUUUAUGUGGGAUUUAGAUGGCAUGGCCUUUGUAUCAGAACUUGAAGGUCAUCUGUACGGUAUUGCUUGCCUUGCUUUUUCCCCUGAUGCUAGUUUUUUUCUUCUUUGGUUUCAGUUCUGCUGCUACUUGUUCACUUUUCCUUUUUCCAGCUUAAAUAACUCGCUAUUCUUUAUUUAUACGAGGGGAAUAUAUAUUUGGCGGACUACAGCGUUGCUAGCAAAGCUCAAACCAUGUUCAUCUUAGACGGCCAUCUCAUCUGUUUCCUUCUCAUCAGAUUCAAAACCUCUUUGAACUGCUGGGAAGAAGCACAUGAAGUUCUGGACAAUCACAUCUCCUAGGACCCAAUUUAAGUUAGGGACAAGUUCACUGUCUUUGCAUGGAAAACCUGUUAAUCUUGUUGGAUGCAUGUUUGAACUCACAUCUCAAUUACUUCUACGCCUUAGGACAGUAACUAUUAUUCUGGAAUAAAUACGCUCGAAUUCUUCAUGAGAAAAGUUUUAUCUAUAGUCUUUCGGAUUUCCCUCUGCUUUUGUGGAAAUUUUCUAUGACUAUGGUUUUUAAAGCAAAAUCUAGCUAGCACGAACAGAAAUGUUCAACAUGGAUGCGUUGAUAUAUAAUUGUGGACCCCUUGGCACAUGCAGUAGAUAGUAAGCGUAUAAUACACACAUACAUUUAGAUAGAGUGGGAGAGAAAUGUAAGUUUGCAUGAUGUUAUAUGUGUUAGUUUUUUAAUAUUUUUUUUCAAAGUUCUACGUGGAGGAUAAGUUGAUAAAUAUGCGUCAUUCUCACGUCUUUAUCUGAUUUCAUGAUCAGAGCAUGUAUGUUGCAUGCAUCCAUACACAUUUUAAUUUUUAUUCAACUUUCAAUUUAAUGAGAGCUUGAUCUGUUUUUUGUUUUCUUUGUUAAAUUUCAAUUAAAGUGAACCGCCCUAAUUUUAAAGCAGUAACCAAAAAACAAUCCACUUAGAAGAAGAUAAUUUGCGCAAUUCUUGUUCCUUGUCCGAUGUAGAGGUUGUGCAUGGACCCCACUCUCAUUCUGUAAAGUUUUGCAAGCAGAAAAUCAUGAGUGGUGGUUUGUUGUAGUUUAUGGUUUCAUUAGGUUUAGGGGGACAGGGGAAGAGUUAUGGAAGGUGUUGGAUGGUCUAUUCGGUCUUUGUGGGUCUUGUUAGUUCUUAGGGUAGCAACAUUUUCCCGGAUCGCCUAAUUCACAUCAAUACUUCAUGCAUUGAACAUGGACAUACUAUCCAACAUUUGUGCAUAAUAUACUUGUCCUUGAACCUGGGAUACAGCCUUUCAGAAGUAAUAAUAUCAUAUUACUAGAUUAAUAUUUUCAUGGUUUCUUUUAUUAAGUCAUAUUCAAUUCAUAGGUGUACCAAACAGGAAGUUUCUUUUAAUGAUUCAAGAUGAUCAUCUCACGAUCUAGAACCAAACUUGAUCUCUGUAUGAUUGCAUGUCCAACUUAAUCACUUCGAGUUAGCAAGGUUUUGUGGUUUAUUGGUACCCUGCAUAAGUAUAUAAUCUUAUCUAUCUUUUUGCUCUGUCCAAUUUUUCUCUUUCUGUGAUAUGAACAGAAAAGUUGCUGUUCUUUGAUUGUUGAUGAUCAAGAAAAUGCACCUCUACCUCCAGAAUUUCAAUUUUUUUCUGACCACGUCCUUGGAUAUGUUAAGUCCUGCACCAGCAGCUUAUCCGGAACUCUUCUGACAAUAGAAAUACUAAUGGUUCUCAUGUGUCUCAAGAAACUUUUUGGACAAGAUGCAGCAAAACUACCAGUUUAUAAUGGAUGCUCUUCUGGUCAAGCUAGCAAUGAUAUAGCAAUGAUAUGAAUUUCACUCAAGAAUGAAUGAGGUUCAUUCUGGGAAAACGGAAGAGCUGCUUUUCAGCAAUGUGAAAAGUCAAAAGCAAGCCACUGGAGGUGGUAUCGGUGCCGCAUUAAGUCUGAAAAUGGUGAUCUAUUCAAGCUACAUUCGGGCAGUUUGUCAAUGUCAGGAGUGAAUCAUCAGUAAGGGGAAGUUACUCUUCCAAAUGUGCUGUGCAGGACUGUCUUGGAAGCACCAAAAGACUUCUAGUGCUACCUUAUGACGCUGGUUGCAAAACUUUGAUUACGUGGACGAAGCUACUAAUCAUUCUCCGUCAGAGAAAUUGCGAAGUCAGGUUUUGGCAGAGCAAGAAUUGUUGUGCAGGAUAUCUAUCUGAAAAGGUUGAUGAAAUGUUGAGGAAGAAUCUUGGUAGUCGAUCAACUCUAUCUCGAACAGUAAAAAAUUUAAAGGUCGGAGCCCUUCGGGAUUUUGCCAAAGAUGCCACUUCCUAUUGCCAGGCAUGACACCGACGGCAUGCUAGUGAAUAAUUAGCUCUCCGAGAAUUUACAGAUACCGAAGGCCUGUUGGAAUAUAUACAAAUCCCUAAGAAGAUUGUCGCUGUAAUAUGUGCUCCACCAAUUUAUCCUCAUUAUGAAUCAGAAAGGUAACUUCCAUAAGCCCAAGAUUAUGUCACCUAGUAUUCUCCUCCUACUAUUUUCAGUCUUUUCUAGAUUCACAUUGAGGCCAUGGGUGUUCCUUAUGUGAAAUCUCUUGUGCUUUAAUUAUUAAUAGAUUCAGCUUUGUGCAAGAGGCAUAUUUCCAUUUCCAGUUUUAGAUUUCUCCAUUUAAGCACAAGUUUGAUUUCUUUUAGUUGACAUGAUUCCCAGAUUUUUACAUCUUUUUUCCAACACAACCGGACCUUUUACAGCCAUCCUUUUAUGUAGUUCACGUUUAUUAUCCUUAACAAAUAAGUAGAUUCCUUUCAAAUCUAUAUACUUAUUGUUGCUUAACUUUUCAGUAUCAAUUGGAUUGUAUCAGAAUAUAUAUUUCCUUAGUUGAUGGCUCUAAAAGGGGUUUGCAUUCAUUAUCUCUUAUAGUUAAUCCCCAUAGAUCAUGAAAAUAAUGUUGAUUAUAAAAUGAAAACCCCAUAUGAUCGUUGUUAGGUGAAACUAUAUGUGGUUUGGAGAUUGCAGUCUGAAUAUAUUUAUGGGUGUGGGGUUAUUAUGUCAAGACUGGGAAACUGUUCCAAUCUCUGUGACUUUUCCAUAGAGAAAAUGACAAAGAACUAAAGAAACGAAGAAAGCUCAUUCUCACUGCAUAAAGCAGCACGGGAGAGACAAAAACUGCACACACUCUGAACAUUAGAAUCUGCAGUUCCCUUCACAGAAGAACGCAAACCAAAGCUAAAUCACUCUCCCCCUUUUGCCAAAUCCAACUCUGUUAUCUUCUUAAUCUCAGUUUGCAGGCUUUGAAUAUAUUACAUGAAAGAAAAUAAAAAUAAAAAAUAAAAAAAUUGAACUCCUUUUCAUGUCAAACAAAAUUUUUACAAAUGUGGCUGCUAGAUUACCAUGCCUUGGUUUCUCUCUCUCUCUCUCUCUCUGCUGCUGCUGCUGAUUUUUUUCUUUUCCAGCCUUGGUGUGAAUCCAUAGGAAUGUAUGAAUUUAUUAUUAUUUUGGUGUUUUCUGGGCAGAGAUUGACUGAAAUCUUGUAGUAGACAGUUUAAUAUUGUUUUAAGGAUCAUAAUAAUUCCAAUAGAUUGUUGUGUGAGAAAAAUCUUUGCAGGAUUCCUUUCCUGUCCAUUAGCCUUGGAGGAGAAAACAAAAUGAAAUGAUUUAAGCUGCUUUAAUACUCUUUUCGAUCCAUGAUCGAGAGAUCGAACAAUCAACUUCUUGGAUGGUAGUUGAUUCUUUAUCUGGUAAGUUACCGUCUGACUUCGACUUCCUAAUUUAUAAUUAUAGAUUUGUUAUACAUCAGGUUAAGAUUUAUACUUUAAUUAAGACUUUGUGAUACUUUAGAGUUAUAUUUCUAGUUCAUUAGGUUACAUGGGUUAAGAUAUAGUGAAUAGACUGACCAUUGCCCCGCAACCAUAUGAACUCCACCCGCUCUUACCCAUUCCAAAGUCCACCCCCGAGACCAAGUUGAUCAAAUUGAGAGGUAUAUAAUGUAUAAAACUAAAUGAAUACAUUUAAAGCUUCUACCUACUCCUCAAAUUGCUGUCAUCCCCAUCAAUACAUUUGCCAAAAAAGAAAACCCAAAUCAUUGGGAUUGUUAAAUUUCAAAAGACCAAGAUUGGGAAUGAGAGAGAGAGAGAGAGAGAGAGAGAGAGAGAGAGAGAGAGAGAGAGAGAGAGAAUCUAAUUGUAUCUUGGUGGAGCAUAGAUGGGAAUGCAGUUCAUUAUUGUAAGAUGUGGACCCCUCAUCCAUCCCACAAGUGAAGAAUUUUGGUUUGGUCCCAAAUUCUGAGCCUCUCUCUAGAUUUCCAUGCAAACAUAUCCUUAUGGGAACAUCACAAUAAUUCUCAUACCACCAACCCUAAGAUAAAAAA